This 69-nucleotide transfer RNA is filed under the name Sceloporus carinatus. Its description in RNAcentral is "tRNA-Trp". The record is from RNAcentral. Lineage: Eukaryota; Metazoa; Chordata; Lepidosauria; Squamata; Phrynosomatidae.
AGAGGCUUAGGAUUAACUAAACCAAGAGCCUUCAAAGCUCUAAAUAGGGAUUAUACCCCCUAGUCUCUG